Molecule: ribosomal RNA, 265 nt
Filed under: Candidatus Coatesiibacteriota bacterium
Lineage: Bacteria; Candidatus Coatesiibacteriota
Description: Candidatus Coatesbacteria bacterium partial 23S ribosomal RNA
Rfam family: Bacterial large subunit ribosomal RNA
Source: RNAcentral
AGGAGAGCUGCCCCUAGUACGAGAGGAUUGGGGUGGACGAACCUCUAGUGUACCGGUUGUCGCGCCAGCGGCACCGCCGGGUAGCUAUGUUCGGACCGGAUAAGCGCUGAAAGCAUCUAAGCGCCAAGCCGCCUCCAAAACGGGUCUUCCCGGGGCCUCGAGCCCCCUAAAGGCACCUCGGAGACUACGAGGUCGAUAGGACGCUGGUGUACGCACAGCGAUGUGUUCAGCCUAGCGUUACUAAUCUGCCGUGAGGCUUGACCAU